GAAACAAAUUAUGAUUUCAUAAAGAAAAAUAUUUGAUAAUUGUUAUCAUAUCACUUAUAGAUCAUUCGAUCUUAUCAUUCAUCAUUGCAUUCAAAUGCAUGAACAUUAAUUAUUAUCUACGAAAAACGUGUGAUUGCGUUGUUUGUUUUUAAUCACAGUUUUGUUAUACUAUUUUCGGUUAUCAUUUUUUCUCUCGGAUGUACCAACGAGAGAUAAGAACUUGCUCUAGUAAACGUACCGAGCGAGCUGAUCUAUUUUGGUGUGUGUGAGAAACGUUCGCAUCGAAGUGCGGUCAUUCCACGAAAAGAAGCCAGCGAAUGGAGUUAUUACCCGUUGGACUACAAUCACAAGCAGAUACAUAAUGAUUCGUCUUCGAUUUAGCAGGGACCAGUCGGGCGACAUGUCCAAGGGGAAGGGCUCGCAACACGUAGCCCAAUGGGACAAACACAGUAAGUGCACAAAUAUCUUUCAUAGCUUUAUUUCCGACAUCUGUGAAGGCUUAUUACUUUGAUUAAGCUGUUUACGACUAUUUAUAGAAACAAAGUCCAUAAUGAUUUGUGAGGAGGGAAGUAAACAUUGUUUGACGUGUGUUUUAGACAGUGCCUGGAUUGUGAAGAUAAGCCAGAACUUGUGAUGUUUAUGGGUAUGUGUGUUUUGUUUGGCAGGGUAUCUGUCUCACUGUCUGCAUGUGAGAUUGGACUUUAUAUAUUUAUCACAAUAAAUGUGAUAAUCUUUUGAUGCCUUCGCAUAAUCUAUAUUUGUCAAACAUGUACAGAACAUAUUUCACGAAUGUGUCGUAUUUAUAGAACAAGUUUAUGUAAACAAGCUUGUCUCCCGUCGUGUUUGAGACAUAACCGUGAUAAUAAUAUUAUGAAGGCAGUAAUGUGCGCCGAACCUCGAUAAUCGAUGUAAUUGGACACAAUUCGACAAAGCUCAAGAACGUUCUUCUCUCAUGACGAACACCUGAACAGAACACUUAUCAAGUUUUGUUAUCUUAUUUUUGUCUAGGGUGUCCUCGUUAGAACUACCCCCGAGUAGACAUGUAUACGUCUUCUAAAAGUUGGAGAGUUAAACUCCUUUUUUGUCAGAAUAAUUAUGUUAGUAAUGUUUGAAACCUAUUCUAAUACUUUGAGAAAGAAACAGACGAUAUGAAUGCAAGAUUACUCAUUUGCAACAAAGUUUUGUUAUGAUUAGUACUGUUGCUCAUGCUAUUAUAUAUAAUUCCUGUAGAUUGUAGAAGAUGAUGUCAAAGUUAGACAUGGGUGUAUGCGGAUAUACUUCGUCAUAUACAUUGUGCUCGGGCGCAGAGAUUUUGUUGACUAGAGUUCUCGACGCAAUCCCAUCUUUCAAUUUGCUUAACUCUCUGAAAUGUAAGCUAUCAUGUCAAAACGAAAUCAAUAAAAAGUAUUGUAUGCAACAAUAUACCGUGUCAUCCUUAAAACAAAAUCCUCGGUAAAACAAUUCUGCUUUGCCCAAUAUAUUUUGUAAAACAUGCAGGAUCAGCUCUGUACAUCGCUUAACAUGUCAGCGAUAACAUUAAACAAAUCACGCAGCAUGAGGAAAUGAUUGUUCUCUCUUUUCUCUAAACUAAUAAUAAUUUUAGUCGGUAAUGUCUUUUUUUUUAAACACUUGGGGAGGAAUGGAGGCAUUUUGUAACACAGGAUAUGACUAUUAACUUAUAAACCUUAUAAGUCUUAUUUUGAUUCCGUUUUUUUAACCACAUUUUAAUCCGUCAUGGCUACGGGGAGUCUUAUUUCACCAUGCAUUGGUGAGAUAAUAGUGAAGCCACAGAAACUGUUGUUCUUAGGUGUUUUUUUGAAUGACGGUUUCCGGAGAUCGGGUACCGAGCCGGUACCUUCCUUCCGGUGCAAAUGAGGCCAUAUUUCUAGCCGGUAACCCGGUCACACCGACAAGACCGACUCCAGAUAGAUGGUAGAGCGAACUGAAAUAUUACAUUACCCCAAAUGGGCAAUAUUCUGUCGGUUAUCGGUCGAUUUGUGGUCUGGUUGGCGGUGUGACAGAGGUAAGCAUAUUAUACUAAUAUUACAAUGUUGCAUUCCCAAUACAUUGAGUAUGCAGUAUACUUAGGUGUGGAAAUGAAUGCUUUGGGAUAGGGCAUGGACAUCAAUUUCAUUUUUCAUACCAUUUUCUAUUAUAGUAACAACUUUCUACGUUGGCGUACACUGAAUAUCAUGCUCUUAAUACACAUGUUAUUUCUAUGUAUUUUUUAAAAGUGAAUAUUGCAUUUACCGUUACACAUCAUAAGAAUAUACUAGUAGACGCAGUAGUAUUAAUUGGUGGUACAGUGAUAGCAGUAUUAUUAUUAUUAUUAUUAGUAGUAGUAGUAGUAGUAGUAGUAGUAGUAGUAGUAGUAGCAUUAGUAAUGAUAGUUGUAGUAUUAGUAGUAGUAGUAGUAUUAGUAGCAGCAGCGACAGAAGCAGGCUGCAUUUGCCGCAACACCCAGAGUCUGUAAUUUCCAUGCUAAAACUAUAAUUGGCUUGGAUGCUUGACGACCCCCCCCCCCCCC
RNAcentral lists this long non-coding RNA (2527 nucleotides) under Strongylocentrotus purpuratus (purple sea urchin). RNAcentral describes it as "uncharacterized LOC115928891". The record is from RNAcentral. Lineage: Eukaryota; Metazoa; Echinodermata; Echinoidea; Camarodonta; Strongylocentrotidae.